AUGGCCACCACGUCGCCUCCCUCGGCCAAUAAAGUCGCCCACCGAAACCCUAAUCCCCAUCCCGCUCAUAGCCCCCUGGAUCCCCCAUCGGCCCCCUCCUCUUCUUCUCGAAUUCGAGCUCGAAUAACUCACGGUCACCGUUGCCUCGCUGUCAUCGUCGCGGCCACCGACCUCUCCGAUGUGCGGGAGCACGUCCAGGAGGUCCAUCGCGGCUGGCUUCGUCCUUUGCGGGCACCAGCUCGAGCCAGGGCGCUGCGUCGCCAACGCCGUCUUCGUCUUCUUCGUCCGGCCGCCGCCAUCUAG
RNAcentral lists this ribosomal RNA (303 nucleotides) under Triticum aestivum (bread wheat). Its description in RNAcentral is "partial small subunit ribosomal RNA". Lineage: Eukaryota; Viridiplantae; Streptophyta; Magnoliopsida; Poales; Poaceae. The record is from RNAcentral.